RNAcentral lists this ribosomal RNA (442 nucleotides) under uncultured bacterium. RNAcentral describes it as "partial 16S ribosomal RNA". It matches the Rfam family "Bacterial small subunit ribosomal RNA", at positions 338 to 795 of the family's 1533-position model. The record is from RNAcentral.
CCUACGGGUGGCAGCAGUGGGGAAUAUUGCACAAUGGGGGAAACCCUGAUGCAGCGACGCCGCGUGAGUGAAGAAGUAUUUCGGUAUGUAAAGCUCUAUCAGCAGGGAAGAAGCAAGACGGUACCUGACUAAGAAGCCCCGGCUAACUACGUGCCAGCAGCCGCGGUAAUACGUAGGGGGCAAGCGUUAUCCGGAUUUACUGGGUGUAAAGGGAGCGUAGACGGUAUGGCAAGUCUGAAGUGAAAGCCCAGGGCUUAACCCUGGGACUGCUUUGGAAACUGUUAGACUAGAGACCGUUAGGGGUAACUGGAAUUUCUAGUGUAGGAGUGAAAUCCGUAGAUAUUAGAAGGAACACCAAUAGCGUAGGCAGGUUACUGGGACGGUUCUGACACUAAGGCACGAAAGCGUAGGGAGCAAACGGGAUUAGAUACCCCUGGUAGUC